Gossypium hirsutum (cotton) is the source of this 107-nucleotide non-coding RNA. The record is from Rfam. Lineage: Eukaryota; Viridiplantae; Streptophyta; Magnoliopsida; Malvales; Malvaceae.
AUUUUGUGAUGGGGGCACUUUCGUAAUAAUUCUUUGUACCUUUCACAUGCCUCAUACAAGGACUCAUCAUCCAUUUGUUGGAAAUUAGUGAUCUCGUUCCUCAACUU